This 301-nucleotide unclassified non-coding RNA is filed under the name fungal sp. RNAcentral's name for it is "partial internal transcribed spacer region". The stretch from base 1 to 46 matches the Rfam family "Eukaryotic small subunit ribosomal RNA", at positions 1786 to 1831 of the family's 1831-position model. Lineage: Eukaryota; Fungi. The record is from RNAcentral.
AAGUCGUAACAAGGUAACCGUAGGUGAACCUGCGGUUGGAUCAUUAAAAAAUUACUUUCGAUCGGGAGAAUUGCAAAAUUCAAUCAAACCCGAGAGAAAAACACACCGUGUGCACCAUAUUUUGUCUUUGCCUCAUUUCGAUGGCGCUUGCGCGUCAAAUGUGACUCUUAAAAACAGUCGCGUCGGGUGAGGCAACAGUGUCAAACCACUAGUUCAACAAUUUGUCGUUUAUUAUACAAACUAUUAAUUAUUUCACUUGUGAAGUAAAAAACAACUUUUGACAACGGAUCUCUUGGCUCUC